GUCCUUCCGGCACAAUCUAUGCCUUCACAAAUGAGAAAAAAAUACAGCAAAGAUUAGCUUUGUAUCAAGGCGUAUGCCCCAUAUAUAUGGA
Molecule: non-coding RNA, 91 nt
Organism: Camelina sativa (false flax)
Lineage: Eukaryota; Viridiplantae; Streptophyta; Magnoliopsida; Brassicales; Brassicaceae
Source: RefSeq, a predicted model, not a curated record